UGUUGUCGCGGAUGGCUGGAAACUAUUUAACCGGAGGCGUGUAAUCACUGAACUAAGGAAUUAUCCGCAUACAUUGCGUAACUCCCCCAGAAUACAACCGGUUCUUCUCGGUGAUAAACAUACCGAGGCUAUCAAGACACGAGAAUAUUAACAAGGUUGGUAACUCAGGCACUUAUUAGAAAAUACUUUGUUUUGAGGAUUAGAUAUAUGAAACACAAUGAAUUUAGGGAUGUAUUCAUCUCUUAGAACUUUUCUUCUCUGUUUUUAUAUAAACCAUACAUAUAUAUUGACCAAGUUAUAAAGC
RNAcentral lists this long non-coding RNA (304 nucleotides) under Trifolium pratense (red clover). Its description in RNAcentral is "long non-coding RNA (TPRA_LNC006969)". The record is from RNAcentral. Lineage: Eukaryota; Viridiplantae; Streptophyta; Magnoliopsida; Fabales; Fabaceae.